Molecule: non-coding RNA, 21 nt
Filed under: Caenorhabditis elegans
Lineage: Eukaryota; Metazoa; Nematoda; Chromadorea; Rhabditida; Rhabditidae
Source: RNAcentral
UAAAUGUUAACCAAUACGUUU